AAAAAGGUAGGUCUUGGGGAGGAAUUUUUCGGGCAGCCAACAAAGGAGAAAAAGAGGAGGAGAAGAAGAAAACCUACAGAAAAAAAUGGCAGGAGUUGGGGGCUGAAUUUGCAAGAUAUAAACGCACAAAAAACACAAAUAAUUGAGGGGAGACAGCUGCUGAAUUUGGGGAAGCACAUACAAUUGUCGGCUGCUUGUAAAACAAGAGAGAAAAGAAGGGAAUAGAACUGCCGGCUGCUGGUGUAUAUCAUAUUCAUACAUAGGCUGCUGGAAUUAAUUGUAAAACACACAACAAUUGGGCUGAGAAAUUGGAGAAGAAUUGGAUCUUGUUUUGAAAGUUAAUAGGGCUGUUGUGAGCAUCAUGAAGACAUACAAGGCUGCUGAAAUACAUACAUAUAUACACGGCUGUUCAUCAAGUAUAUAUACACAUGGAAAUCGUGAUACAUUGGAG
RNAcentral lists this long non-coding RNA (451 nucleotides) under Olea europaea (common olive). Its description in RNAcentral is "long non-coding RNA (OEUR_LNC013692)". The record is from RNAcentral. Lineage: Eukaryota; Viridiplantae; Streptophyta; Magnoliopsida; Lamiales; Oleaceae.